CAAUAAGACAACUUUUUUUUUUACUUAUCUUCGUCUUUUAAAAAAAAAUUAUGAGUUUCGAUCAAAAUUUUUUACUUUUGAUUCCUCUCACCGAAACGAAUCAAUAAGUCACAAAAAUUUGAUGCAAAACUAAUAAAUGUGAAUUUUUGUUAAAUAAAAACAAAAAAAAAUUACUAUUGAACUUUUCAAUCCAAAAUCACCCGGAUUGCCCCCUUCUUCCCAGAUAUACGCUAGUGUCGAUUCUCCUCAUGAUCAAGUGUGACAGUAAAGAUGAUUACUAGCGGUGUUUUAUCUUUCCAAUAUGAUAUACUACCUACGUUAUGAUUUGUUUCUCCCUUUUUUGACUUAUACAUGUCCCAAGUUAACUACUCAAUUUCAAAAUUAAUAGACUAGAUUAUGUAAAUUUUUAAAUCAAUAGAUCAAAUUUGGUUUUCUUAAAAAGUUGAAAACCCGAGAUUGGACAUACAAAUCGGGACGGAGAAAGUAUGCCCUUAAAGAUAGCUUGCUGUAUUUAAUUUUCAGGUAUACAAAUCCAUAACAAAACAAAGCUUGCGAGAAGGAAAAUUUGGUGGUCACUACUCCAACAGCUCGGAAUGCCAAAAAUCAAGCUCAUCUCUAGAGAAGGCAACAAAUGCACGGACAUCUUAGCGUGUGAAGCCCGGAUAGCAAGAGAGAGUUUUAUUUCAUUUGUUUUGAUUCCAUAUUGUAUUAGAACUCAAGUAGCAUAUGUUAGUAAAGAAGUACGAGUACACGAAAGUCAUCUGUAUGACUGGUCCAAGAUAAAAGUCCAUAUAAUUGGUUUUUACUGUACUAGUAAAGACCAUGUGUAUAUGUAGUAAUAAAUGCUAGCAGAGUAGUUGUACGUAGUCAGUUUGAUAGGUGUGUUACAUUAGUCAAGGUAACAGCAGUAGUAUGGCAGUGUUCCAAUUAUAUGUUUAUACUGUUUGUGUAGGUAAUCAGUGAUGUAAGCGUCUCCUCCUUACGCCUAUUAAAGGAGGGGUUCCCCCAUUGUAAAGAACCAAGUUAGAAAGCCAGUCAGUGUUUGCAAUAAUAUUCCAGUCUCUUGUGUUCUUAUAA
Long non-coding RNA from Rhododendron vialii, 1077 nucleotides. RefSeq lists it as uncharacterized. The record is from RefSeq and is a predicted model, not a curated record. The transcript is spliced from 2 exons. Lineage: Eukaryota; Viridiplantae; Streptophyta; Magnoliopsida; Ericales; Ericaceae.